GGCGGAUUCCGGGUUCGGGACUCCCCGCCGGAUCCCAGGACGGGCCUGCGGACGCCGGCCUAGGUCGCAGGGGUGCGCCUCGGAGUCCCGUGUUCGUGCCCAGCCUUUUGAGAAAGCCUGAAGGCAUUGGACCCGCUGAAACCCGACUGGUAGACCGUCCUGAGCUACCGUAUGUGGUGCUGGGAGCCAAGCCCUGCGUCUUCUGCCUCUGAGCCCUAUCUCUCCUGCCCGUGAAUAAACUAUUUUUUCGACUGUUAAUGGAGUUCAGGAUGGCCUAGAACCCUGGACGCCCCUGCCCCAGGGUCCACUGUGCAGGUGUGCACCCCAUGCACCUGCAGUUAAAUGUAUAUUAAAUAUAUAAACUUAAGUAAAUUUUAAUAUUUUUGACCGUAGGA
Non-coding RNA from Myodes glareolus (Bank vole), 395 nucleotides. NCBI's taxonomy places the organism in Eukaryota, Metazoa, Chordata, Mammalia, Rodentia, Cricetidae. The record is from RefSeq and is a predicted model, not a curated record.